RNAcentral lists this ribosomal RNA (561 nucleotides) under uncultured Alphaproteobacteria bacterium. RNAcentral describes it as "bacterial SSU rRNA". It matches the Rfam family "Bacterial small subunit ribosomal RNA", at positions 338 to 917 of the family's 1533-position model. The record is from RNAcentral. Lineage: Bacteria; Pseudomonadati; Pseudomonadota; Alphaproteobacteria.
CCUACGGGGGGCAGCAGUGGGGAAUCUUAGACAAUGGGCGAAAGCCUGAUCUAGCCAUGCCGCGUGUGUGAUGAAGGCCCUAGGGUCGUAAAGCACUUUCGCCAGGGAUGAUAAUGACAGUACCUGGUAAAGAAACCCCGGCUAACUCCGUGCCAGCAGCCGCGGUAAUACGGAGGGGGUUAGCGUUGUUCGGAAUUACUGGGCGUAAAGCGCACGUAGGCGGACCAGAAAGUUGGGGGUGAAAUCCCGGGGCUCAACCCCGGAACUGCCUCCAAAACUCCUGGUCUAGAGUUCGAGAGAGGUGAGUGGAAUUCCAAGUGUAGAGGUGAAAUUCGUAGAUAUUUGGAGGAACACCAGUGGCGAAGGCGGCUCACUGGCUCGAUACUGACGCUGAGGUGCGAAAGUGUGGGGAGCAAACAGGAUUAGAUACCCUGGUAGUCCACACCGUAAACGAUGAAUGCCAGUCGUCGGGUAGUAUACUAUUCGGUGACACACCUAACGGAUUAAGCAUUCCGCCUGGGGAGUACGGUCGCAAGAUUAAAACUCAAAGGAAUUGACGGA